GCCCAGGUAGCUCAGUUGGUAGAGCAGGGGACUGAAAAUCCCCGUGUCGGCGGUUCGAUUCCGUCCCUGGGCACCA
Molecule: transfer RNA, 76 nt
Filed under: Azospirillum sp.
Lineage: Bacteria; Pseudomonadati; Pseudomonadota; Alphaproteobacteria; Rhodospirillales; Azospirillaceae
Also listed under: 7 other names
Description: tRNA-Phe
Rfam family: tRNA
About the family: Transfer RNA (tRNA) molecules are approximately 80 nucleotides in length. Their secondary structure includes four short double-helical elements and three loops (D, anti-codon, and T loops). Further hydrogen bonds mediate the characteristic L-shaped molecular structure. tRNAs have two regions of fundamental functional importance: the anti-codon, which is responsible for specific mRNA codon recognition, and the 3' end, to which the tRNAs corresponding amino acid is attached (by aminoacyl-tRNA synthetases). tRNAs cope with the degeneracy of the genetic code in two manners: having more than one tRNA (with a specific anti-codon) for a particular amino acid; and 'wobble' base-pairing, i.e. permitting non-standard base-pairing at the 3rd anti-codon position.
Source: RNAcentral